UACAGAGGGGGCAAGCGUUGUUCGGAAUUACUGGGCGUAAAGGGCGCGUAGGCGGCCUGCUAAGUCGAACGUGAAAUCCCUGGGCUCAACCCAGGAACUGCGUCCGAUACUGGUUGGCUUGAAUCCGGGAGAGGGACGUGGAAUUCCAGGUGUAGCGGUGAAAUGCGUAGAUAUCUGGAGGAACACCGGUGGCGAAGGCGACGUCCUGGACCGGCAUUGACGCUGAGGCGCGAAAGCCAGGGGAGCAAACGGGG
RNAcentral lists this ribosomal RNA (254 nucleotides) under uncultured bacterium. Its description in RNAcentral is "partial 16S ribosomal RNA". It matches the Rfam family "Bacterial small subunit ribosomal RNA", at positions 524 to 777 of the family's 1533-position model. The record is from RNAcentral.